Molecule: long non-coding RNA, 1938 nt
Filed under: Nicotiana tabacum (common tobacco)
Lineage: Eukaryota; Viridiplantae; Streptophyta; Magnoliopsida; Solanales; Solanaceae
Description: long non-coding RNA (NTAB_LNC006037)
Source: RNAcentral
CUUCAAACAUGAAAACAAAUUAUGAUCUGAAUAAAACGUACAUGAGUAGAAUAAAGUAAGGGAGACUGUAUCUAGCCCUAACCAUUACCGACAUGAGUAAAACUUUACUUGUAGACUUGCAUAGAAUCUUGAAGAUUAAUUCAGGUGUUGAAGAUUACCACCAACCAGACUUCCAUCUUUCCUCUUGCCACCAUUUUCUGAUUUUUCUCGGGUCAAAAGUCAUUGAUAGGGAAGUUUGACAAGUUUCCUACAAAAAAAAAAAAAAAAAAAAAAAUAUUCAGGUACUUGUUGGCAUUUAUUUUUUGGCAAAUUGAAAACAACCUUCCUAUCCUCACAAGGUGGUAGGAGUAAGGUCUGGGUCGUUCAAAACUACCCUUCUCAGACCUCACGGUGUGAUAUAAUACUGAGUUUAUUGUUGUAAGAAAAAAUCAAAAGGAAAGUGCCAACUCCUUAAAAACAACAAUCAACUAAACAGUUGGCCAUGAAAUGAUACGAUGCAUUUCAGGCGGCCAGAAGAAGCGUCUCACCACAGGUUAUUUCCAUCUCCAAACAAUUUAUAGAGAUGUUUCUUGAAAUAUUUUGCUAACACUCCAUAUUAUACUAUACAACUUUUUCAGAGAACAAAUUAAAAUACUCGAGUUCAAAUCCGAAGACAAAAAACAAAAGCAAUGCUUCUAUUGACUUGAUCCCAAAAAGUUGAAGUGUUAAACUACCAAACAGUACCUCAUAUUUGGCUAGUGAUGAGAACUGCAGCACUUUCUUGUUGGAUGACCACCAUAAUAUGCUUCUGUUUCCUAAUCAGAGUUGUCUGCAUUGUCAAACUACUAGUGUUAAGUUCUUACUGCAACAAUUCACUUCAAAAGCUUAAGCAACCAACUACUUCUACCGUAUGUAUUUGCUAGCCUUGGAGUAAAGUAAUAACAAAAUAAAACUCAUAGUCUACAUUAAAUCAACCGUGAAUGGUAUGUGAAAUAAAUGCAUGUUUUAUAUAGAGAGACUAGCGAACGAAUUCAUUUCUUCAUACCGUAUACAUGUUAUCAAGACUAGAGAAGACCUCUCAUCAAGCUAGAAGAGUUUACAUGGAACCAGUUGUGUGGAGUGUCUAAUGCAGUAAAAACGUAAGUAGAUUGCAAUUGAUAAACUUAAACUCAGAGGUGAUAAAUAAGCACACUAAAUUUUACAGGUGAUGAAUUAGUGAGCUGUUGAUAUUAGUAAUUGGACACUGUAAAUAUUAAGACAAUAGUAAUUUCUCAUCCUAAUUUGAUUAACCAAAACGGAAGGUAUAUAUUGAAUUAGCAUAACCAUUUUUCAACUAUGCAAAAAGAGUGAUCAUCAGAUCAUACAAUAUAAGCAAAAUGCUUAGGGAGAUUGCACAAAAGUAGAUUCAAUCCGGAAAUAUAAUUCUUGACAAAAAAAUAUAAUCACUGGGUUAAUAGUUUAAUUCAAGUUUGCUGCAGGCGAGAUGAUUGUUGGGCCAACAAAAACACAAUUCAUGGACGAGAUAUCUACUGGACUAGACAGCUCAACGACAUUUCAGAUAGUGAAAUGUUUACAACAGAGUACAUCUCACCAGUGGCGAAGCCAGAAAAUUUAAUAAAGGUGUUCAAAUUUUGAACACCCUUUGCCAGUGGGCUAUGCAAGGGUGUUCAAAGUCUAUUUUUAAUCAAUAACAAGUAAUAUUUUACCUUAUACGUAGUAUAAUUUUUCGGCGAAGGGUGGUUAGUUGACCACCCUUGGGCCAACAUAGCUUCGCCCCUCAUCUCAGAGAUGCCACCAUCUUGAUGUCCCUCCUUCAGCCUGCUCCUGAGACAUUUGAUCUCUGACGAUAUCAUUCUCUUAUCAGAAGGUGAGAUUGUUUAUCAGGGCCCUCGUGAACAUGUCCUUGAGUUCUUUGAAAGCUGUGGUUUUAAAUGUCCAGAGAGAAAAGGUGUUGCUGAC